Molecule: ribosomal RNA, 753 nt
Filed under: uncultured bacterium
Lineage: Bacteria
Description: bacterial SSU rRNA
Rfam family: Bacterial small subunit ribosomal RNA
Source: RNAcentral
AGAGUUUGAUCAUGGCUCAGAACGAACGCUGGCGGCAUGCCUAACACAUGCAAGUCGAACGUGAUCCAGGCUUCGGUCUGGUGAAAGUGGCAAACGGGUGAGUAACGCGUGGGAACCUGCCCAGAGGUAGGGAAUAACUGCGGGAAACUGCGGCUAAUACCCUAUGUGUCCUGAGGGACAAAGAUUUAUCGCCUUUGGAGGGGCCCGCGUCGGAUUAGGUAGUUGGUGGGGUAACGGCCUACCAAGCCAUCGAUCCGUAGCUGGUCUGAGAGGAUGAUCAGCCACACUGGGACUGAGAUACGGCCCAGACUCCUACGGGAGGCAGCAGUGGGGAAUAUUGGACAAUGGGGGCAACCCUGAUCCAGCAAUGCCGCGUGAGUGAUGAAGGCCUUCGGGUUGUAAAGCUCUUUCGGCGGGGAAGAUGAUGACGGUACCCGCAGAAGAAGCCCCGGCUAACUUCGUGCCAGCAGCCGCGGUAAUACGAAGGGGGCUAGCGUUGUUCGGAAUUACUGGGCGUAAAAGGGCGCGUAGGCGGUGCUGUAAGUCAGGCGUGAAAUCCCCGGGCUCAACCUGGGAAUUGCGCAUGAUACUGCGGCGCUGGAAUGCGGGAGAGGAUGGCGGAAUUCCCAGUGUAGAGGUGAAAUUCGUAGAUAUUGGGAAGAACACCGGUGGCGAAGGCGGCCAUCUGGCCCGUGAUUGACGCUGAGGCGCGAAAGCGUGGGGAGCAAACAGGAUUAGAUACCCUAGUAGUCC